Molecule: ribosomal RNA, 253 nt
Filed under: uncultured bacterium
Lineage: Bacteria
Description: partial 16S ribosomal RNA
Rfam family: Bacterial small subunit ribosomal RNA
Source: RNAcentral
UACGUAGGGGGCAAGCGUUGUCCGGAUUUAUUGGGCGUAAAGAGCGUGUAGGCGGCCAGACAGGUCCGUUGUGAAAACUCGAGGCUCAACCUCGAGAUGUCGAUGGAAACCGUCUGGCUAGAGUCCGGAAGAGGAGUGUGGAAUUCCUGGUGUAGCGGUGAAAUGCGCAGAUAUCAGGAAGAAUAUCCGUGGCGAAGGCGGCUCUCUGGGACGGUACUGACGCUGAGACGCGAAAGCGUGGGGAGCGAACAGG